Molecule: long non-coding RNA, 251 nt
Filed under: Erythranthe guttata (spotted monkey flower)
Lineage: Eukaryota; Viridiplantae; Streptophyta; Magnoliopsida; Lamiales; Phrymaceae
Description: long non-coding RNA (EGUT_LNC000541)
Source: RNAcentral
AUAGCACAUUGUUAUAGCAUUUUUGUAAUAAAUGCUAUAAUUGAUUAUUCCGUUCUAAAUAAUAAAUGAAAAUAUAAAAACAAACGCUAUAGUAUUAACGAUAUUUUUUUGACGGGUUUUAAAAAUAAAAAAGGUUUUUGGUUAUAUAAAAUACCCAAAUUCGACUCGUCUCUUCCAAAGCCACACUUUCUCUGGUGGAGUCGUUCAUCCAAAACGAACGCCGUCUCCAUCUCUCUAUGGCACCGAUAUGC